GACGAACGCUGGCGGCGUGCUUAACACAUGCAAGUCGAGCGGUAAGGCCCUUUCGGGGGUACACGAGCGGCGAACGGGUGAGUAACACGUGGGUGACCUGCCCUCAGCUCUGGGAUAAGCCUGGGAAACCGGGUCUAAUACUGGAUAUGACUCCAUGACGCAUGUUGUGGGGUGGAAAGCCUUGUGCGGCUGAGGAUGGGCCCGCGGCCUAUCAGCUUGUUGGUGGGGGAUGGCCUACCAAGGCGACGACGGGUAACCGGCCUGAGAGGGCGACCGGCCACACUGGGACUGAGACACGGCCCAGACUCCUACGGGAGGCAGCAGUGGGGAAUCUUGCGCAAUGGGCGAAAGCCUGACGCAGCGACGCCGCGUGAGGGAUGACGGCCU
RNAcentral lists this ribosomal RNA (387 nucleotides) under uncultured bacterium. RNAcentral's name for it is "bacterial SSU rRNA". It matches the Rfam family "Bacterial small subunit ribosomal RNA", at positions 28 to 417 of the family's 1533-position model. The record is from RNAcentral.